GCUUCCCAUAUUUCCUCCAAAGUCACCACAGCAUAUCCUGCCUUUCAAAUUCCUUCCUGCAUAAAACUAGUUCCAUCGGUGUAUAGGGUAAAGUCUGGAUCCAGCAGGGGAACAUCUUUCAUGUCUGGGUGACUAGCCCUCUGUCUGUCAUCUUGACUCUUCAAACAAGAUCUGGUCCAGCCAUUCAUCAUGAGGGCCAUCUUCCUUGCCUUUGCUAUGUUCCUGCUUGUUGCCAUGGCCUCUGCAGGUUACAACAGGCAAUGCACCAAUGAAUGUAGAGGGUAUUGUUCCCACAAAUGUCCCUCUCAAUAUACUUCUCAAUCAAACUGUGCCUGUGCAAGAUAUGGUGGUGUUUGUUGUAUUAACCUUUACCCUGUACAUCCUCGUCAUCCAGUGCCUGUUUUUGCCCCAGCCCCGAUCCCAGCUCCUGCUCGUCUUCCUGCUGCUCCAUAUCCACAUGCUAAGUGGCCAUACUGGAGACCUCCCCACAAAGGUUAAAUAAUCAGACAAGAGGAACAUCGGUUGCAAAAGCUAUUGCCAUUAAGAAAAAAAAUGUUUGCAAUCCUCUUGCUAAAUAAAUCAGCUUUGACCAAUC
Molecule: long non-coding RNA, 595 nt
Organism: Crotalus tigris (Tiger rattlesnake)
Lineage: Eukaryota; Metazoa; Chordata; Lepidosauria; Squamata; Viperidae
Exons: 3
Source: RefSeq, a predicted model, not a curated record